This 705-nucleotide long non-coding RNA is filed under the name Pongo abelii (Sumatran orangutan). RNAcentral's name for it is "lincRNA". Lineage: Eukaryota; Metazoa; Chordata; Mammalia; Primates; Hominidae. The record is from RNAcentral.
AGGAUUUUAAAACAAUCUAUCACCUAUCUUUGACCAUAUGGACUAAACUUGAUAUCCACCAAUAGACACUGAUCCCUGCAAGUCAACAGCAUAAAGAGUGGUAAAGUCAGUUCUGCAAAAGAUGAAAUGUUUUUAAUGUGUUCUGGAGGCUAACAAUCCAAGAUCAAGAUGUCAGCAGGAUUGGUUCCUGAGGGCCUUGAGGAAGAAUCUGUUCCAGGACUUUCCCUUUGGCUUGCCAUUGGCCAUAUUCUCUCUGUGUCUUCUCAUGUCUUCCCUCUGUAUUUAUUUCCAAAUUUCCUCCUCUUAUAAGGACAGUAGUCAUUUUGGAAAAAGGACCACCCUAAUAACCUCAUUUUAACUUGAUUACCUCUUUAAAGACCUUAUCUCCAAAUACCAUCACAUUCUGAACUAUUACAGAUUAAUGCGUCAAUAUAGGAAUUUUGUGAGGGGCAGGGAGACAGGAUACAACCAACCCACAACACCCAGAUACAUAGCACAAUCUCUUUCUUCUAAGCCCCCUGUGCCUGUGUCUACCACUUCAUCCCCCAAUUAGCUAUAUUUGAAAAAGUAAGGGGGAAAGAACAGUUGAAGGGGGAAGAAAGAGAGAAAGAAGACAGACAACUUAGAUUAUGUGCCCUAAAUGCUGGCCUUACAAAACUGGAGCAAAUCUUAACCAAUCAUUGUAGCAAAACCUUUUGUUUAUGA